CGUAGGUGGUUUGUCGCGUUGUUCGUGAAAUCUCACGGCUUAACUGUGAGCGUGCGGGCGAUACGGGCAGACUUGAGUACUGCAGGGGAGACUGGAAUUCCUGGUGUAGCGGUGGAAUGCGCAGAUAUCAGGAGGAACACCGGUGGCGAAGGCGGGUCUCUGGGCAGUAACUGACGCUGAGGAGCGAAAGCGUGGGGAGCGAACAGGAUUAGAUACCCUGGUAGUCCACGCCGUAAACGGUGGGUACUAGGUGUGGGUUUCCUUCCUUGGGAUCCGUGCCGUAGCUAACGCAUUAAGUACCCCGCCUGGGGAGUACGGCCGCAAGGCUAAAACUCAAAGAAAUUGACGGGGGCCCGCACAAGCGGCGGAGCAUGUGGAUUAAUUCGAUGCAACGCGAAGAACCUUACCUGGGUUUGACAUGCACAGGACGCCGGCAGAGAUGUCGGUUCCCUUGUGGCCUGUGUGCAGGUGGUGCAUGGCUGUCGUCAGCUCGUGUCGUGAGAUGUUGGGUUAAGUCCCGCAACGAGCGCAACCCUUGUCUCAUGUUGCCAGCGGGUAAUGCCGGGGACUCGUGAGAGACUGCCGGGGUCAACUCGGAGGAAGGUGGGGAUGACGUCAAGUCAUCAUGCCCCUUAUGUCCAGGGCUUCACACAUGCUACAAUGGCCGGUACAAAGGGCUGCGAUGCCGCGAGGUUAAGCGAAUCCUUUUAAAGCCGGUCUCAGUUCGGAUCGGGGUCUGCAACUCGACCCCGUGAAGUCGGAGUCGCUAGUAAUC
RNAcentral lists this ribosomal RNA (775 nucleotides) under uncultured Mycobacterium sp. RNAcentral describes it as "bacterial SSU rRNA". It matches the Rfam family "Bacterial small subunit ribosomal RNA", at positions 570 to 1343 of the family's 1533-position model. Lineage: Bacteria; Bacillati; Actinomycetota; Actinomycetes; Mycobacteriales; Mycobacteriaceae. The record is from RNAcentral.